Molecule: ribosomal RNA, 395 nt
Filed under: Acanthamoeba sp.
Lineage: Eukaryota; Discosea; Longamoebia; Acanthamoebidae
Description: partial small subunit ribosomal RNA
Rfam family: Eukaryotic small subunit ribosomal RNA
Source: RNAcentral
AAAGCAGGCAGAUUCAAUUUUCUGCCACCGAAUACAUUAGCAUGGGAUAAUGGAAUAGGACCCUGUCCUCCUAUUUUCAGUUGGUUUUGGCAGCGCGAGGACUAGGGUAAUGAUUAAUAGGGAUAGUUGGGGGCAUUAAUAUUUAAUUGUCAGAGGUGAAAUUCUUGGAUUUAUGAAAGAUUAACUUCUGCGAAAGCAUCUGCCAAGGAUGUUUUCAUUAAUCAAGAACGAAAGUUAGGGGAUCCAAGACGAUCACAUACCGUCGUAGUCUUAACCAUAAACGAUGCCGACCAGCGAUUAGGAGACGUUGAAUACCAAACACCACCACCGGCGCGGACGCCCCCGGAGAUCGCGUUCCCCCCCCACCGCAAGGGCCCCUCCCCCCCCCCGGCACC